This 520-nucleotide ribosomal RNA is filed under the name uncultured Glomus. Its description in RNAcentral is "SSU rRNA". It matches the Rfam family "Eukaryotic small subunit ribosomal RNA", at positions 569 to 1090 of the family's 1831-position model. The record is from RNAcentral. Lineage: Eukaryota; Fungi; Glomeromycota; Glomeromycetes; Glomerales; Glomeraceae.
AGCAGCCGCGGUAAUUCCAGCUCCAAUAGCGUAUAUUAAAGUUGUUGCAGUUAAAAAGCUCGUAGUUGAAUUUCGGGGGUUAGUAGAUUGGUCGUGCCUCCGGUAUGUACUGGUCUUACUGAUUCCUCCUUCUUGAAGAACUGUAAUGCCAUUAAUUUGGUGUUAUGGGGAAUCUGGACUGUUACUUUGAAAAAUUAGAGUGUUUAAAGCAGGCUAACGCUUGAAUACAUUAGCAUGGAAUAAUGAAAUAGGACGUUCGAUCCUAUUUUGUUGGUUUCUAGGAUUGACGUAAUGAUUAAUAGGGAUAGUUGGGGGCAUUAGUAUUCAAUUGUCAGAGGUGAAAUUCUUGGAUUUAUUGAAGACUAACUACUGCGAAAGCAUUUGCCAAGGAUGUUUUCAUUAAUCAAGAACGAAAGUUAGGGGAUCGAAGACGAUCAGAUACCGUCGUAGUCUUAACCAUAAACUAUGCCGACUAGGGAUCGGAUGAUGUUAAUUUUAUAAUGACUCAUUCGGCGCCUUA